Molecule: ribosomal RNA, 1401 nt
Filed under: uncultured bacterium
Lineage: Bacteria
Description: bacterial SSU rRNA
Rfam family: Bacterial small subunit ribosomal RNA
Source: RNAcentral
AGAGUUUGAUCCUGGCUCAGGAUGAACGCUAGCUACAGGCUUAACACAUGCUAGUCGAGGGGCAGCAUGGUCUUAGCUUGCUAAGGCCGAUGGCGACCGGCGCACGGGUGAGUAACGCGUAUCCAACCUGCCUUACACUCUUGGACAGCCUUCUGAAAGGGAGAUUAAUACAAGAUGUUAUCAUGAGUAAGCAUUUUCGCAUGAUUAAAGGUUUACCGGUGUAAGAUGGGGAUGCGUUCCAUUAGAUAGUAGGCGGGGUAACGGCCCACCUAGUCUUCGAUGGAUAGGGGUUCUGAGAGGAAGGUCCCCCACAUUGGAACUGAGACACGGUCCAAACUCCUACGGGAGGCAGCAGUGAGGAAUAUUGGUCAAUGGACGAGAGUCUGAACCAGCCAAGUAGCGUGAAGGAUGAAGGUUCUAUGGAUUGUAAACUUCUUUUAUACGGGAAUAAACGAAUCCACGUGUGGAUUUUUGCAUGUACCGUAUGAAUAAGGAUCGGCUAACUCCGUGCCAGCAGCCGCGGUAAUACGGAGGAUCCGAGCGUUAUCCGGAUUUAUUGGGUUUAAAGGGAGCGUAGAUGGGUUGUUAAGUCAGUUGUGAAAGUUUGCGGCUCAACCGUAAAAUUGCAAUUGAUACUGGCAGUCUUGAGUACAGUUGAGGUAGGCGGAAUUCGUGGUGUAGCGGUGAAAUGCUUAGAUAUCACGAAGAACUCCGAUUGCGAAGGCAGCUUACUAACCUGUAACUGACAUUGAUGCUCGAAAGUGUGGGUAUCAAACAGGAUUAGAUACCCUGGUAGUCCACACGGUAAACGAUGAAUACUCGCUGUAGGCGAUAUACAGUCUGCGGCCAAGCGAAAGCAUUAAGUAUUCCACCUGGGGAGUACGCCGGCAACGGUGAAACUCAAAGGAAUUGACGGGGGCCCGCACAAGCGGAGGAGCAUGUGGUUUAAUUCGAUGCAACGCGAAGAACCUUACCAGGUCUUGACAUCCCAUUGACCACUGUAGAGAUACAGUUUUCCCUUCGGGGACAACGGUGACAGGUGGUGCAUGGUUGUCGUCAGCUCGUGUCGUGAGAUGUUGGGUUAAGUCCCGCAACGAGCGCAACCCUUAUCCUUAGUUGCCAUCAUUCAGUUGGGCACUCUAAGGAGACUGCCGGUGAUAAACCGGAGGAAGGUGGGGAUGACGUCAAAUCAUCAUGCCCCUUAUGACCUGGGCUACACACGUGCUACAAUGGACGGUACAAACGGUUGCCAACCCGCGAGGGGGAGCUAAUCCGAUAAAACCGUUCUCAGUUCGGAUUGUAGGCUGCAACUCGCCUACAUGAAGCCGGAAUCGCUAGUAAUCGCGGAUCAGCAUGCCGCGGUGAAUACGUUCCCGGGCCUUGUACACACCGCCCGUCAAG